AGCGAACGCUGGCGGCAGGCUUAACACAUGCAAGUCGAGCGGGCAUCUUCGGAUGUCAGCGGCAGACGGGUGAGUAACACGUGGGAACGUACCCUUCGGUUCGGAACAACUCUGGGAAACUGGAGCUAAUACCGGAUACGCCCUUAUGGGGAAAGGUUUACUGCCGAAGGAUCGGCCCGCGUCUGAUUAGCUAGUUGGUGGGGUAACGGCCUACCAAGGCGACGAUCAGUAGCUGGUCUGAGAGGAUGAUCAGCCACACUGGGACUGAGACACGGCCCAGACUCCUACGGGAGGCAGCAGUGGGGAAUAUUGGACAAUGGGCGCAAGCCUGAUCCAGCCAUGCCGCGUGAGUGAUGAAGGCCUUAGGGUUGUAAAGCUCUUUUGUCUGGGACGAUAAUGACGGUACCGGAAGAAUAAGCCCCGGCUAACUUCGUG
This 435-nucleotide ribosomal RNA is filed under the name uncultured bacterium. Its description in RNAcentral is "partial 16S ribosomal RNA". It matches the Rfam family "Bacterial small subunit ribosomal RNA", at positions 29 to 507 of the family's 1533-position model. The record is from RNAcentral.